This 660-nucleotide ribosomal RNA is filed under the name Triticum aestivum (bread wheat). Its description in RNAcentral is "partial small subunit ribosomal RNA". The record is from RNAcentral. Lineage: Eukaryota; Viridiplantae; Streptophyta; Magnoliopsida; Poales; Poaceae.
AUGCAGUUGGUCACGGGUGGCCACACGGCAGUUUUGGUCAACGGGAACAUUAGUCACUUCUUUGCUAACAGUAGCGUCCUGAGGCAGGGUGACCCGUCUUCUCCCCUCCUCUUCAACUUUGUGGCUGACUCUCUCUCUCUCUCUCAUAUUCUGACUCGGGCUGCUGCUGCUGGCCACAUCACUCCUGUCAGCCCUCACCUCGUCCCUAAUGGCAUCUCUCACUUACAAUAUGCGGAUGAUACUAUCAUUAUGGUUGAAUUGAAUGAAGCUAGCAUAAUACAUCUGAAGUUCCUUCUCCUUUGCUUUGAAGAUCUAUCUGGUCUCAAGAUUAAUUUUGCUAAGAGUGGAGUCAUUGUUACUGGGGUCUCGGAUGUUGAGGCCCAAAGAGUUGCUCAUCUUCUUAAUUGCUCCCUUGGCUCUUUUCCUUUAAAAUAUCUCGGCCUUCCGGUCUCUCCCCACAAGCUGCUGGCUAAAGAUUUUGCUCCGGCUGUCACUAAGGUGGGCAAUCGGGUCUUGCCAUGGAGAGGCCGCUACAACACCCAACCAGGCAAGGUCGCCCUAACCAACGCUUUCUUGUCUUCCCUCCCCAUGUUUUUGAUGGGCUUCUACCUCCUUUUGGGAGGGACACAUGAUGUCUACUACACAACCUUCUUCUUGUAG